Molecule: ribosomal RNA, 253 nt
Filed under: uncultured bacterium
Lineage: Bacteria
Description: partial 16S ribosomal RNA
Rfam family: Bacterial small subunit ribosomal RNA
Source: RNAcentral
UACGGGGGGGGCAAGAGUUGUUCGGAAUUACUGGGCGUAAAGGGCUCGUAGGCGGCCAACUAAGUCAGACGUGAAAUCCCCAGGCUCAACCUGGGAACUGCGUCUGAUACUGGAUGGCUUGAAUCCGGGAGAGGGAUGCAGAAUUCCAGGUGUAGCGGUGAAAUGCGUAGAUAUCUGGAGGAAUACCGGUGGCGAAGGCGGCAUCCUGGACCGGCAUUGACGCUGAGGAGCGAAAGCUAGGGGAGCAAACGGG